AUUUUGCAAUUGCAGCGUCUUCCGUUGUUGAGGCACUUCGUCGAUUUUGCAGUUGCAGCGUCUUCCGUUGUUUAGGCACUUCGUCGAUUUUUGCAGUUGCAGCGUCCUCCUUUGUUGAGGCACUUCGUCGAUUUUGCAAUUGCAGCGUCUUCCGUUGUUGAGGCACUUCGUCGAUUUUGCAAUUGCAGCGUCUUCCGUUGUUGAGGCACUUCGUCGAUUCUUGGAAAGGUAGCGUCUUACGUUGUUGAGGCACUUUUCAAUCGCAGAAUUUUUCGAUUUUGAGGUCCUUCGUCAUUCUCGACAGGUCAGAAAUUUCCAUAGAAAAAUCAACAAAUAAAAAAAACCAAAAAUUCAAACACAAAGUUCACUACUAUUUUAUUGAAGUAAAAUUACAGUGAAACAGUGCAAGAAAAAAGAUGACAAAGUAAUAUUGUGACGAAAUAUAAGAUGAAAUAAUGA
This is a long non-coding RNA of Xenia sp. Carnegie-2017, 459 nucleotides long. RefSeq lists it as uncharacterized. The transcript has 2 exons. The record is from RefSeq and is a predicted model, not a curated record. NCBI's taxonomy places the organism in Eukaryota, Metazoa, Cnidaria, Anthozoa, Malacalcyonacea, Xeniidae.